AGAGUUUGAUCCUGGCUCAGAACGAACGCUGGCGGCAGGCCUAACACAUGCAAGUCGAGCGCCCAGCAACGGGAGCGGCGGACGGGUGAGUAACACGUGGGAAUAUGCCUUUCGGUUCGGAACAACUCGGGGAAACUCGUGCUAAUUCCGGAUACGCCCUUACGGGGAAAGAUUUAUCGCCGAAAGAUUAGCCCGCGUCCGAUUAGCUAGUUGGUGAGGUAAUAGCUCACCAAGGCACCGAUCGGUAGCUGGUUUGAGAGAACGACCAGCCACACUGGGACUGAGACACGGCCCAGACUCCUACGGGAGGCAGCAGUGGGGAAUCUUGGACAAUGGGGGAAACCCUGAUCCAGCCAUGCCGCGUGAGUGAUGAAGGCCUUCGGGUUGUAAAACUCUUUCGACGGGGACGAUAAUGACGGUACCCGUAGAAGAAGCUCCGGCUAACUUCGUGCCAGCAGCCGCGGUAAUACGAAGGGGGCUAGCGUUGUUCGGAAUUACUGGGCGUAAAGCGCGCGCAGGCGGCUCUUCAAGUCAGGGGUGAAAGCCCAGAGCUCAACUCUGGAACUGCCUUUGAGACUGAAAAGCUUGAGUACGGGAGAGGUGAGUGGAAUUCCCAGUGUAGAGGUGAAAUUCGUAGAUAUUGGGAAGAACACCGGUGGCGAAGGCGGCUCACUGGCCCGUUACUGACGCUCACGCGCGACAGCGUGGGGAUCAAACAGGAUUAGAUACCCUGGUAGUCC
This 740-nucleotide ribosomal RNA is filed under the name uncultured bacterium. Its description in RNAcentral is "bacterial SSU rRNA". It matches the Rfam family "Bacterial small subunit ribosomal RNA", at positions 8 to 796 of the family's 1533-position model. The record is from RNAcentral.